Small nucleolar RNA from Coregonus clupeaformis (lake whitefish), 85 nucleotides. RefSeq annotates it as small nucleolar RNA SNORA70. The transcript has a single exon. NCBI's taxonomy places the organism in Eukaryota, Metazoa, Chordata, Actinopteri, Salmoniformes, Salmonidae. The record is from RefSeq and is a predicted model, not a curated record.
CUGCAGCUUAUUAAGCUGACCAGUCUUGCUGCAGUGCGGUUUGGUGUGCAAUGGCUGCAGACAGUGGCCAUGUCCGAAUACCCAU